CUUCAGGAGCUCAUAACCUCCUAAGAUGUAAAUGAUACAGAUGUCAUCACUAACGUGAGGGAGAGCUCAGCUCAGCGGAACCCAGCGUAUGAGACAACAGGAAACUACAUCACAGAGCACGAGGGCACCGUGUCCCCCCACAACAGUGGGUCGGCGAUGGACAACGCGGUGCAGACUGAGGGGUCAGUGCGUGCUUCAUGGAAGAGGUCGCUCUCGAGCCAGACAGCGGAUUUAAAGCUGAGCUGAACCUCAUGCUGGCUGGGUUUCCUUUGGGCCUGACUCUAGAACUUCCAAUCAGAAUCUUUGGGGUAGUCCAGAAGUGCACGUUUUUAAUGAGUUCUCCUCCACGUAAAGUUCACAUCAGUCCUGAAGAGAUUCUGCAGCCAUAAAGGUGGAUGUUUCCAUGAGUGUUCGGGACACCAACUCAUCCUCAUUAGACAUUAGAUCCAUGCUGGGAAUCCUCAGGCCAGCAAUUUGAACAAGCUCCAGAUCCACCGAAGCUGCAGUCAGAAGAACAAGACACAGAUAAGGGGUGACAAGAACAAGAAAGCUUCUGAGAGUGCAGGUUUUUUUUCAUCCAAUUCAAUGCUCUGGAGAAAAUUAAUCAGGCCAAUCAAUCACAGGUGGACUCUUUCUUCACUAAUUGCAUCCUGACUCAAAGUCCUUUCUCCUGAAAUGUCUUUCCGUUUUCUACUUGCCUUCAAGUUUUCAUCUUUAGCAUUGAUUUUCAGAAUUCAAAUAUAAUUUGUUUAGCUUAAAAACAAAAAAUGAAAACCCGUUGUUCUUCUCUGAGGUUUCUGGAUUAAUAGUUUGAUUCUUUUUGGAAAAUUCUCAGUUAUUCCUUCUUUGAAUAAUUUUUCCCCUCCAUGUUUUUUCCUUCUUCUUUUGGGUUUCCCAUUAUAUGAAUAUCAGACUGAAAUCACCCCACAGGAUAUGAAAAGUAGGUUCUAUGUCUUCAUUCUCUUUUCUAUCUGUGGUUCAGUUUUGGUAAAUUUUACUUCAACUAGACAAACUACUUUAAAUUCCUUUUAAUCAUUAUUUUAAACAUUUAGUAUUUAUAUUUUAUUUAGACAAACCAUAUUCAAACUACUGAAAAUCAAAGAUAAAGAUAAAAACUUGAAGUCAGGUGAUGGUGAUGCAAAUUUAAUAUCUCACUUGGAUGUGGCUACUAAUAUCAAAAGAACCACCUUUAGCCUCUUCACUCUUGUUACUUGAUCAGCUGGAUUUCUAGCUCUCUCUAGUAAUAAUAUAUAUUGUAA
Macaca mulatta (Rhesus monkey) is the source of this 1259-nucleotide non-coding RNA. The record is from RefSeq and is a predicted model, not a curated record. Lineage: Eukaryota; Metazoa; Chordata; Mammalia; Primates; Cercopithecidae.